Zingiber officinale is the source of this 170-nucleotide long non-coding RNA. RefSeq lists it as uncharacterized. The transcript is spliced from 3 exons. The record is from RefSeq and is a predicted model, not a curated record. NCBI's taxonomy places the organism in Eukaryota, Viridiplantae, Streptophyta, Magnoliopsida, Zingiberales, Zingiberaceae.
AAGCUACUCAUAUGUGGUCUGAGAUGCUCCAGUGGAGGAUCAACUUUGGUGCUGAUACUAUCAUUCAUGAUUUUGUAUUUGAUGAACUCGACGAAGUCCUCCAUUAUUAAGAUUUUGAACUCUACGCCAUAGAUCGCCUCCGAGUCCUGCAGGGUAUUUCAGAUGGUUUG